RNAcentral lists this ribosomal RNA (657 nucleotides) under uncultured bacterium. Its description in RNAcentral is "bacterial SSU rRNA". It matches the Rfam family "Bacterial small subunit ribosomal RNA", at positions 187 to 848 of the family's 1533-position model. The record is from RNAcentral.
GCAUCUUCUUGUUAUUAAAGAAUUUCGAUAAUCGAUGGGGAUGCGUUCCAUUAGUUUGUUGGCGGGGUAACGGCCCACCAAGACAUCGAUGGAUAGGGGUUCUGAGAGGAAGGUCCCCCACAUUGGAACUGAGACACGGUCCAAACUCCUACGGGAGGCAGCAGUGAGGAAUAUUGGUCAAUGGACGAGAGUCUGAACCAGCCAAGUAGCGUGAAGGAUGACUGCCCUAUGGGUUGUAAACUUCUUUUAUAUGGGAAUAAAGUGAGCCACGUGUGGCUUUUUGUAUGUACCAUACGAAUAAGGAUCGGCUAACUCCGUGCCAGCAGCCGCGGUAAUACGGAGGAUCCGAGCGUUAUCCGGAUUUAUUGGGUUUAAAGGGAGCGUAGGCGGAUUAUUAAGUCAGUUGUGAAAGUUUGCGGCUCAACCGUAAAAUUGCAGUUGAUACUGGUAGUCUUGAGUGCAGCAGAGGUAGGCGGAAUUCGUGGUGUAGCGGUGAAAUGCUUAGAUAUCACGAAGAACUCCGAUUGCGAAGGCAGCUCACUGGACUGUAACUGACGCUGAUGCUCGAAAGUGUGGGUAUCAAACAGGAUUAGAUACCCUGGUAGUCCACACAGUAAACGAUGAAUACUCGCUGUUUGCGAUAUACAGUAAGCGGCC